UCCUAAGAACUCAUAGACAUUUGUCUAAACAGGACUGAAGCCUUGAAUCCCGAUCACAAGUUUCUUACCCAACCCUAUUCUCCCGUCGAGCAAGUUUUUGUCAAAUCAGUUGUGUGGAAUUCUGCACGGUUAACUCAGUUGGUCAAUUUAAAUACUUUGAAAAACUUUUCCCCUGUCUUUCUUCUUCUUUGAUUUAGGGUUUCAGAAGCAGUGACGUUUUCACGCCGGCCUCUCUUUCUAAAAUCUCACGAUGAUCUGAGUGAAGACUGCUUUAAAUAAUCAAGUUUCGAUAUUCAAUUCAGGGUUUCAGAAGCAGGUUUUCGUCAACGUUUCAUGAUGAAUACAGCGAAGGCUGCAUUAAAUGAUGAAGUUUCGAUAGUCAAUUCGGUGUUUCAGAAGCAGUGACGUUGGCUAGCCUUCUUCUUUUUCUUCUGUCGUGAGUGUUUGACGAUAAUCUGGGUGACGACUGCAUUAAAUGAUGAAGUUUCGAUAUUCAAUUCAGGAGAUCUUUCCCAACCAGUGAUGCAUGGUUCUGACAGCGUAAUUGACCAGUGGAGUAAGGGAACACUACUUUCACCAUCUGGCAUAGAAAGAAUUUUUCCCUCAUGAAGCAUCCAGCGGAAAGUUAUGGUUUUUCCAGACCCAGACAACCUUUCUGAUCCAAGCAAGUACAUUCUAGUUGACUUCCAAAGGUUAGAGUUUCCUUUGACAAGUGUUGUUUUCCCUUGGUAUCCAGAAGUUGGUGAUAUGUUACUUAUCAAAGGCGAUGAUCCAGAACCAUGGCGGGGUUUAGUUCUGGCAGUGCACAUGAGGAACAAAACUGUGCGACUGCAGUUCUUCGUACCACAUCCUCGGUAGGGAAGACAGUCUGGCGUCUGGGUGCGUGAAGGUACACGACCUCAAGAAGUGCACUUAAAGAGCAAGCUUGGAAGUUGUAUAGGACAUUGGCAGGGAAACAACAGCAUCUUAAAAGAACUGCAGACUUGGAUGCUACUGACAUUAGAAAAAAAAAUUCCAUUUGGAGAAUGGUUCAUGACACCUUCAGUUAAAGGCGUGGUCUUUCAGGUCUUCAGAGUCUCCCAAAAAUGGAGUCACAGGUUUGGAU
Pocillopora verrucosa is the source of this 1105-nucleotide non-coding RNA. The record is from RefSeq and is a predicted model, not a curated record. NCBI's taxonomy places the organism in Eukaryota, Metazoa, Cnidaria, Anthozoa, Scleractinia, Pocilloporidae.